ACAAUGGACGAAAGUCUGAUCCAGCUAUGCCGCGUGCAGGAUGACGGCCCUAUGGGUUGUAAACUGCUUUUAUACAGGAAGAAAAACUCCGACGUGUCGGAACUUGACGGUACUGUAAGAAUAAGGAUCGGCUAACUCCGUGCCAGCAGCCGCGGUAAUACGGAGGAUCCAAGCGUUAUCCGGAAUCAUUGGGUUUAAAGGGUCCGUAGGCGGUUUUUUAAGUCAGAGGUGAAAUCCUGCAGCUCAACUGUAGAAUUGCCUUUGAUACUGAAAGACUUGAGUUAUUGUGAAGUGGUUAGAAUGUGUGGUGUAGCGGUGAAAUGCAUAGAUAUCACACAGAAUACCAAUUGCGAAGGCAGAUCACUAACAAUAUACUGACGCUCAGGGACGAAAGCGUGGGUAGCGAACAGGAUUAGAUACCCUGGUAGUCCACGCCGUAAACGAUGGAUACUAGCUGUAUGUCUACUUCAGGUAGAUGUGUGGCUAAGCGAAAGUGAUAAGUUCCCACCUGGAGACUCCCUA
This 522-nucleotide ribosomal RNA is filed under the name uncultured bacterium. Its description in RNAcentral is "bacterial SSU rRNA". It matches the Rfam family "Bacterial small subunit ribosomal RNA", at positions 368 to 886 of the family's 1533-position model. The record is from RNAcentral.